RNAcentral lists this ribosomal RNA (450 nucleotides) under uncultured bacterium. RNAcentral's name for it is "partial 16S ribosomal RNA". It matches the Rfam family "Bacterial small subunit ribosomal RNA", at positions 354 to 796 of the family's 1533-position model. The record is from RNAcentral.
GUGGGGAAUAUUGGACAAUGGGCGAAAGCCUGAUCCAGCCAUGCCGCGUGUGUGAAGAAGGUCUUCGGAUUGUAAAGCACUUUAAGUUGGGAGGAAGGGCAGUAAGUUAAUACCUUGCUGUUUUGACGUUACCGACAGAAUAAGCACCGGCUAACUUCGUGCCAGCAGCCGCGGUAAUACGAAGGGUGCAAGCGUUAAUCGGAAUUACUGGGCGUAAAGCGCGCGUAGGUGGUUUUGUAAGUUGGAGGUGAAAUCCCCGGGCUCACCCUGGGAACUGCCUCCAAAACUGCAUGACUAGAGUACGGUAGAGGGUAGUGGAAUUUCCUGUGUAGCGGUGAAAUGCGUAGAUAUAGGAAGGAACACCAGUGGCGAAGGCGACUACCUGGACUGAUACUGACACUGAGGUGCGAAAGCGUGGGGAGCAAACAGGAUUAGAUACCCCGGUAGUCC